GGAGUUUAAGCUUCCAACCUCUUGCCGUGUUAUAAUGUUGAUGAACAAAUUUGAUUCUUAUAUUUCCAAAACAUGUCAAGAGUAAUUUUGUUUAACACUUACAAACUUACAGUUAGUAUUCUCAAAACAGUAAGUCAAAUCAUGGGACCAAAAAAUUUCAAAAAAUAAUCAUCUGCAUGCAUUGUACAUAACUUGGACAUAGAUGGAAUAUAAUGCAUUCUACCAUGCAUAUCAAUAUUUAGGGUCUCCAGUGUUAAAAAAAAAUUUAGGGUCUCCGCAAAAAAAAUCCAAUAUUUAGGACUUCACAAAAAAAGGUAUGUAUCGUCGUAAUAUUUGUGAGAAUGGCCCUUCAGCUCGACCUUUUUUUUAGGGAAGACCCCUCGACCUUUUGCGUCCUGCCUUAUGCUAAAAUGUGGUUUUGGGCCAGCAGAGUAACACACAGCUAUAAGGGCCUGGAAGCUUGCCACUGGGUCAGUUUGUAUGGAGGCCCACUCAGAAACGCCAACACAGGUGAGUUGUUCCCUGCCUUAGCUCAAAAAAAAAGUGAGUUCCCUGCCUCUAUGUCGAGCGGCUCUUAGAAAAAGAAAAGAUUCUUCUGAAAAAAAUGAACUCUCAACCGGAGCAGCACCGCGCCGCCGCCCCUCCCCCCGUCUCUGGCCCCGCGACCCGACGAACGCCGACCCGAGGACCGCGAGAGGGAGAAGGGGCAGCGCACGACCUGGACAUCCGGCAAUCGGCCUCGGCUGGUCGCCUCGCCCAGCCCAAUCGUCAUCAGCAGCCAUGGCGGCGCCUGAAUCCGGCAGCCACGGCCUCAAAAGAGCACACGCCGGCAGGUGGAACACUUCACGCCUCCACGGCUGCUCCGCUAUUGCGCCGGCGAUUAGCACCGACCGUAGCAUCAGUGCAUCAGCAUACGGUACUCAGUAGGCAGCAGCACCGUUACAAAAAUAAAGAACAAGUCGGGUGAUUGAAACAUUUCUGCACCCAUUCCUUGCUUACAAAAGAAAUAUAAUGAAGUUAAACUCUUCUGCAGGUGUUAUGUCAAGGUAUCACCAUGGCAAAGAUCCCCUUUGCUGCUAACCAGGAGGCAGGAACUUGAGAAUUGUUUCAGAACUAUGAAGUGAGAGCACUCUGAAGUUUGAUGUGCACUUGACGCUUGAUCAUUGCACUUCCCCUGAUGAGUUCGGAUCUGAUUCUGCUCAUUGUGAUGUAGCCCCAGCAUGUAGAAGCCACAACAUCUAUGCUGAUGUUCGUAAAUUUCCUUCUUGGUUUAUCUCCUGUGUCAGUUCCUGCAAAUUGGUAGAGGGCGCAGUGCGCCGACUCAUGGUCUUGCUUCCCAGGUGCAUCAGAUUAGUAUUAGUAAUCUACUAUGGAUGGGGCAUGUCCAUCCAUUGUUGAGUUGGCUUGUAAUGACUCUGUAACUCUGAUUCCGUAUGAGUAUUCAGAAAAUAAAGGAAACUGACCUAUGCCCA
Molecule: long non-coding RNA, 1472 nt
Organism: Aegilops tauschii subsp. strangulata
Lineage: Eukaryota; Viridiplantae; Streptophyta; Magnoliopsida; Poales; Poaceae
Source: RefSeq, a predicted model, not a curated record